RNAcentral lists this ribosomal RNA (460 nucleotides) under uncultured bacterium. RNAcentral describes it as "SSU rRNA". It matches the Rfam family "Bacterial small subunit ribosomal RNA", at positions 26 to 518 of the family's 1533-position model. The record is from RNAcentral.
AGAAUCAACGCUGGCGGCGUGCCUAACACAUGCAAGUCGAACGAGAAAGUGGAGCAAUCCAUGAGUAAAGUGGCGACCGGGUGAGUAACACGUGACUAACCUACCUUCGAGUGGGGGAUAACAUCGGGAAACCGAUGCUAAUACCGCAUAACAUCGCAAGAUCAAAGCAGCAAUGCGCUGGAAGAGGGGGUCGCGGCUGAUUAGCUAGUUGGCGGGGUAACGGCCCACCAAGGCGAAGAUCGGUAGCCGGCCUGAGAGGGCGCACGGCCACACUGGAACUGAAACACGGUCCAGACUCCUACGGGAGGCAGCAGUGGGGAAUUUUGCGCAAUGGGGGAAACCCUGACGCAGCAACGCCGCGUGGAGGAUGAAGCCCCUUGGGGUGUAAACUCCUUUCGACCAAGACGAUAAUGACGGUACUGGUGGAAGAAGCACCGGCUAACUCUGCGCCAGCAGCCGC